This 599-nucleotide ribosomal RNA is filed under the name uncultured bacterium. Its description in RNAcentral is "bacterial SSU rRNA". It matches the Rfam family "Bacterial small subunit ribosomal RNA", at positions 788 to 1386 of the family's 1533-position model. The record is from RNAcentral.
UGGUAGUNCACGCCGUAAACGCUGAGUGCUAGGUGUUAGGUCCUUUCCGGGACUUAGUGCCGACGCUAACGCAUUAAGCACUCCGCCUGGGGAGUACGACCGCAAGGUUGAAACUCAAAGGAAUUGACGGGGGCCCGCACAAGCGGUGGAGCAUGUGGUUUAAUUCGAAGCAACGCGAAGAACCUUACCAGGUCUUGACAUCCCGAUGCCCGCUCUAGAGAUAGAGUUUUACUUUUUGUACAUCGGAGACAGGUGGUGCAUGGUUGUCGUCAGCUCGUGUCGUGAGAUGUUGGGUUAAGNCCCGCAACGAGCGCAACCCUUAUUGUUAGUUGCCAUCAUUAAGUUGGGCACUCUAGCGAGACUGCCGGUAAUAAACCGGAGGAAGGUGGGGAUGACGUCAAAUCAUCAUGCCCCUUAUGACCUGGGCUACACACGUGCUACAAUGGUUGGUACAACGAGUCGCAAGCCGGUGACGGCAAGCUAAUUUCUGAAAGCCAAUCUCAGUUCGGAUUGUAGGCUGCAACUCGCCUACAUGAAGUCGGAAUCGCUAGUAAUCGCGGAUCAGCACGCCGCGGUGAAUACGUUCCCGGGCCUUGUNC